Molecule: ribosomal RNA, 585 nt
Filed under: uncultured Basidiomycota
Lineage: Eukaryota; Fungi; Basidiomycota
Description: LSU rRNA
Rfam family: Eukaryotic large subunit ribosomal RNA
Source: RNAcentral
UAGCAUAUCAAUAAGCGGAGGAAAAGAAACUAACAAGGAUUCCCCUAGUAACGGCGAGUGAAGCGGGAUGAGCUCAAAUUUAAAAUCUGAUAGUCUUUGGCUGUCCGAGUUGUAAUCUAGAGAAGUGUUUUCCGCGUUGGACCAUGUACAAGUUUCCUGGAACGGAACGUCAUAGAGGGUGAGAAUCCCGUCCUUGACAUGGACUACCAGUGCUUUGUGAUACACUCUCAACGAGUCGAGUUGUUUGGGAUUGCAGCUCAAAAUGGGAGGUAAAUUCCUUCUAAAGCUAAAUAUUGGCGAGAGACCGAUAGCGAACAAGUACCGUGAGGGAAAGAUGAAAAGCACUUUGGAAAGAGAGUUAAACAGUACGUGAAAUUGUUAAAAGGGAAACGAUUGAAGUCAGUCGCGUUUACUUGGACUCAGCCUUACCUCGGUUUGGUGCAUUUCCUUGUGAACGGGCCAGCGUCAAUGUUGUCCGUUGGAAAAGGGUUGGAGAAAUGUGGCUCUUUCGGGAGUGUUAUAGUCUCUGAUCGUAUACAACGGCUGAUAUUGAGUGGUACAGCAUGCUUCGGCGGUGCUUGUGCU